CGAAAGCGUAUGCUUACGUUGUUGCGGUUGAAAAGCUCAUAGUCGGAAUCAAGCUUUUCGCCGCUCGUGCCAAGGCCGCAAGGCCGCGGCGCGAACGAAACGAAAGAUGGUAGUGCAAAAACAACCGAAGGCGGACGGCCGGCGUGGCUCGGAAUCGCGCUUCUGGCGCGAUGACAAGUUGCACGUCGCGAGUCGUUCCGCGAGUUGCCCUGAAGAAAUUGAAGCGAUCAGGGCAGGUCGAACAUAUCGACCGAGAACAGUCGUGCAUGGUACAACGAAAGACGGCCGCGGCUCCGCCGCCGGCGUCGAGACAAUUGCGCGUGGCAAUGAUUGAGAGGAACGGACGGGGGCAUUCGUACUGUGCCGGGAGGGGUGAAAUCCGUGGAUCGGUGCAAGACGACCAGAAGCGAAAGCGAUUGCCCAGGACGUUUUCCUUGAUCAAGAGCGAAAGUCGGAGGUUCGAAGACGAUUAGAUACCGU
RNAcentral lists this ribosomal RNA (480 nucleotides) under uncultured eukaryote. Its description in RNAcentral is "bacterial SSU rRNA". It matches the Rfam family "Eukaryotic small subunit ribosomal RNA", at positions 592 to 1018 of the family's 1831-position model. The record is from RNAcentral.